UUUACAAGAGUUGCUUUGGUUAUAGUACCUCUUCAUAGCAACAGAACAGUAACUAAGAAGUGUCUAAUUCUGGUGGACAACCAAUAACAGUGGCAACAACCUGUGUUAUUUUAGGAGCCUCUGGAGCCUGCCUGGACAAUAAUUCAUAGGAAAGUAUCACAUAACAGGCUGUCCUGGUCAGGUUUUUGUUUUUUUUUUUUUUUUUUUGGUUGGUUGGUUGGUUUUGGUCUUGUCAGUUUGACACAGGGUAGAAUCGUCUUGGAAAGAGGGACCUGAAGUGAGUCAAUGCCUCCUCCAUUCAUAUUGCCUAUAGGCAGGCCUGUGGAGGCAUUUUCUUUCUUAAUGAUUGACAUGGGAGGACCAAGCCAUCUUGAGUGGUGCCACCCUGAGUACUUAUUCUGAGGAGUGUAAGAGAGCAGGCUGAGCAAGCCUGUAAGCAGCAGCUACCCAUGGCUUCUGCUUCAGCUCCUGCUUCCAGGUCCCGGCCCUGACUUCCCCUCAGGGAUGCAUAUCUGGAAGUGUAAGCUGAAGCAAACUCUUCCUUGCUCAGGUUGCUUUUGGACUUGGUGUUUAUCACCGCAACAGAAAGCAAACUAGGGGGCUGGUGAGAUGGCUCAGUGGGUUAGAGCACCCGACUGCUCUUCCGAAGGUCUGGAGUUCAAAUCCCAGAAACCACAUGGUGGCUCACAACCAUCUGUAACAAGAUCUGACCCCCUCUUCUGGACUGUCUGAAGACAGCUACAAUGUACUUACAUAUAAUAAAUAAAUAAAUAAAUCUUAAAAAAAAAAAAGAAAGAAAGCAAACUAGGACACUCUGCCCCUGCCCCCUCUAUCCUCUUCCCCACUCCCCACCCAUCCUUGUAAACCGUUGUAAUCUCAGACGGAGACUGUGUGAAUAAAACACAACCUAAAGAUGCAAUCUCCACUGUGCUCACUGGCCUCCAUUGUGACAGCUAUCACAAACUCCAGUGUUCCAAUUACAAAACCAUGAACCAAAAUUGAUCAAUCUCUCUCUUGCACACACUCACACACACACACACACACACACACACACACACACACACACACACACGAAUGCACGCAUAUAGAUAUACACAAGAAUGCACACACAUCUAUGUGCACACAUAUGCACACACCAUCACUCUUGCUUCUGUUUCUCUCUUCUCUGUCCUCUCCCUUUCUUUUCUCUCUUCAGUCCCCCAUCUCUCCUGUCACUGUGUAAUCCAGACUGGCCUUGAACUCAUUAUGUAACCCUUUCCCACCUCCAACUUGAAAUCCUCCUGCCUCAGCUUCUCAAGUACUGAGAUUACAGGCUUGGGCCACCAUGCCCAGCUAACCCUUUCUCCUGUUAAGUUGAUUGAAGUAUUUUGUUAUAGUUAUAGAAAGUUGUCUAACACAGAAGUGGUCCCUCUUCUUCUAUUUUGUAAAAGAGACUAUACAGAACUCCUAUUAACUCUUUUAAAAUACUUUUAUUUGUAUUAAUAUUAUGUAUGUGCCUGUGUGAGUUAUAUGUACCAUGUGUGUACAGGUGCCUUUGGAGGCCAGAGGGGAUCCGACCCUUGGAAUUACAGGCAAUUGUGAUGCACCUGAUGCAAAUGAACCUGGAGAUCAAACCUGGUUCCUCCUUUGAACCAGAACAAAGACCAGUAUAGCAGAAUAAUGCACCUUAAGGUGCAGUAGUGCCACAGAUACCUUGGCAAUAAGCAACAGCUCUCAAACUGGACUUACAACCCACUCAAUAAGUGGGAAAUCAUGCCUGCUACUAGAAACCUAGCCAACUGCCCAAGGCUAGGGACGUCAUAGAUCAUGGAGAAGAAUCUCCACCACUCUAUUGAACUAGCGUAAUCCCCGACUACAUUCUAAAUAUUUAUCAGUGUAGUUCUCUUCCCUCAUUGAGGAAACUUCUCUUUCUAGAUGGCAGAUUACAUUACAGAAAACUAGAACUGAUCAGAAUGCAGACAUGUAGAGAGCCCAGUCCCAACUGUACAUCUACAACCAACACAACCCCUGAUCCUAAGACUCGGGGAGUGUGGAAGAGGAAGAGGGGGAAAGAUUUUGUGAGCCAGAGAAACAAAAAAGUUUGAUGUGAGAAUGUGUGUCCUGGAACUGUCGGAGCAGCUACACCCAUGAGAUCACACAAACAUGCAUGCCUACAUAUGUCCUGAACAGGAAUAAUACCGGGAGAGUUGCUAACGUGGAAGAGAGAAGCUCACCAAGUCCUCAACACUCGAAAGAACUAGAAGCAGCUAAGGAAGACAGAGAGUAGGAGAAACACCCUUUCCAGGAGAGAAAGCACCAACUGCUGAUCCAGUAUCAGACAGUCAGCCCUGGAAAUAUAUACGCACAAGUAACAUUAUAUGGGCCUGGUAGGUUCUGUUUAUGUAUUUAGGAAUAUAGAUAGGUGGGUAGAUAGAUAUCUUUGCAAAUUUCCGCAAACUCCUAGGUAAUUUUCCUGUCUCUACUGCUCGCUUUGCAAAGAUGAGCAGAAACAAAAGACAUCCUGACCUGAAGGUAGAAGAGGAGAACCCAGCCCUGGAAGUUGUCCUCUGACUUCCACAUGUGCAGUGUAGUAUAUGUAUGCUGGCACUCACACACUUACCACACACACACACAACCCAUACCACACACACACACACCACACCAUGUGAGUGCACACAAUAAUAAAUUCAUGAUGGCUUCUUUUUUGACCUGUGAGCUAUUUAGCCACGUGUUGCUUUGAAAGGUUCAGACAUUUUCCUGUUACUGUUUUGUCAUUAAUUUCUAGCUUGAUUCCAUUGUCGUUAGAGAACACAUUCUGUAUAACUUUAAUUCUUUCUAAUUUGUAAGAGAUUUGAGGUUUGACUCAUGUGAUGGUUAGUGUCGACUUUUAACCUGAAAACUCUUAAAACCAGUUCAGAGAUGGUUCUCUGAGCCUGCCUGUGAGGGAUUAAUCUGGAUUAGGUAGGUUGGUGUUGAUGUGGGGAGACCCAUUUUAGUUGGACCAUUCCCAGCAGGAGACCCUGGACCUCUCUAAGAUGAAGAUAGGGAGCUGAAUGUUAGCAUGCAUGCAUGCAUGCAUGCAUCCAUUGGGCUUUUCUCAUUGUGGAUGUGACAGCUGGUGUAAGUUCCUGCUGCCUUGAGUUUCUCUCUGGGAGGGAAACUGUACUGUGAAUAAUGAGCUAAAAUGAAGCCUUACGUUUCCUUGGUAAGGAUUUUUUGUAUCACAACAAGAAACAAAGGAAGACAACCCCCAGGAUGUGGUCAAACUUUGUGGGCGUCUUCAAGCACCUGAAACAAAUAAAUGUAUAGUCUGUUGCUGUUUCAUGAGUCAGCUAGAAAUCAAUCAAGUGCUGCUGGCUGAGGGCAACGCUGAAUUCUAUACCUCUGCUUAGUCAUUCUUCCAAAUGAUGAGAGGCUAGUGAAAUCUUCAGUUUAAGAGAAAAAAGAAAAAGAAAAAGAAAGAAAAAAAUUAAAAAAAAAAAAAGAAAUCUUCAGUUUGUCCUUUCCAACCCAUCAGCCUUUGCUUCAUGUAUUUUAACAAGUCUAUUCUCAUGCACGUACCUGUUUAGGACGGCUGUGAUCUCUUCGCGAUUGGCUCUUUUAUCUUUUCACAAUGGAAAGGGAACAAGGAGAAAACUCUGAGGGGGUGGGGCAUCUCAUUGGUGCCAGAUGGGAGUGGAAAGCCCUUUGCUAUGUUGCCUGUGUUUGAAGAAAGGUAAUAUUUGCUUUUCUUUUUUUAAAGUUUACUUAGAUACAUAUGUUUUUAAGUAUGGCUGAACACAUUUUUAAGUAAGGCUUUGAGGAAACAAACUCCCAGGACAUAGUAUUUGGAAACCUGGUUUAAACUACACUCUGGUAACUACUGACAAGAUAGCAAACUCACCCUUUGACCCCACACUUGUAGGACACCAAAGACGUACACACGUGUGAGUGGUGACGUUAAAAGCCAAAGGCUAAAAAAAAGAUCUGCAUGCCCUUCAGUAGAAGGCUUGUUACAUAAUUAUAUGAUCCCCAGCGAGGAAUAGCAAAAUGGCUCUGUUUUUUAAGUUUAUUGUGUGUGCAUGUAACACAUCAGUGAAUCUCUCCUCCCACAGUGUGGGUCCUAGGGACCUAGGGAUUGAACUCAGAGCAUUAGGCUUGGUAGCAAGCACCGUUACCCACUGAGUCAUCUUACAGAGACAGCCAAUUUAUUAACAUCAAGCACAUUUCAGGGUGUGAUACAUGAGGAAAUAGAAAACAAAGUGUAGAAUAAUAAGUCCUAUGAUGCUGUUUGUUUAAAAGAAAAGGGAACAGCAGGGCCUGGUGUCACACACCUGUAAUCCCAGCACUUGGCAGGUGAAGGCAGGAGGAUCGGGAGUUCAAGGUCACCCUCAGGUAUAUAACAAACUUGAGGCCAGCCUGGGCUACAUGAUAGUCUCUUGAUUGUGAGGAGGGGUGGAGAAGAAACAGGCAGACAGACAGGGCUUUUCCUAUAUAUACAUAUGUACCAGGCUGGCUACAAGAGACUACUAAUGGGCUGGAGAGAUGGCUCAGCGGUUAAGAGCACUGACUGCUCUUACGAAGGUCCUGAGUUCAAUUCCCAGCAACUACAUGGUAGGUCACAACCAUCUGCAAUGAUAUCUUUUUAAAAAAAUGAGAGAAAGGUUGCUAGCAAUGCCAGGGAGGAGGUGGGACAUAGACUCCAAUGAAAAACACAGUGACAAAUGGCCAAGCUCCAGUGAUGCCUGUCAAGCCACUGGGCACCCUGGCCCCUCCACUUGCCCUUUGUACCUCCAUUCCUGUGUGCUUUUGCACAUUGAGGUCCCUGUGCCAGGGGUGGGGCUAGCAGGAUCCUGGCUAUUGGCUGAGGGGUGUUCUAGGCUGUCCAUUCCGAAGCAUCCUCACUUGCCUUCCCAUGGCCUGGCCUCUCACUGUGGAUUCAUUGGUGACAAAACAGAGGAAUGGGGUCCAAGUGUUGAGUACGCCUACUUCAGGAGAUGGGACUGGACUCUGCCGAUCUGAGAUGACCCCUCCCAACACUGUUCUAUCCCUGUCCAGACCCCUGGGUUCUGGCACUAAUAGGCUCAUCCAGGAUCUACAGCAUUCAGAUGGUCAUAGACGGCUCCACCUCUUCCUCUUCACUUCUUCAAGGACGACCCUGCCCAGGUCUGUGCCACAAAGCCAGCCCACAGCACCCUGCUCUACAGUGAACCUUCUUUGUUUUUCAGACUCUGACACCGACUGGCUGUGUGAUCCUGGACAGACUGCAUCACCUCAUGGACAUUUUUUCAUCUGUGAGGGGAAGAUUUCCUGGCAGUGGUCUGAGAAAUGGUGGCAAGGACUGAAGGAGUUACAUGCAUGGAGAGUACUGUACCACCAGUUGGGCAGAGAUGGAAUUGCACUUCUUUUUGCUCUGUCUUUUCAUCAUCUUAGAAGUGGGUGGAGCCUCCUCUUCAUAAUUCCUACAGGGUUUAAUACUGAGGAGAAACUUUGUAAAGUAAAGGAUUUUUAGGGUUGGGGCGGUGGCACAGUAGGUAAAGCGCUCGCUGUGUCAGCCUGAGGACCCGGGCUGGUACUUACAACAAAGCAUGGUAUGAUCAUCAAUAAUGCCAGCACAGUUGCAUAACGACGGGCACAUCCCCGGGGAAUCAGCUGCCAGCCAAUCUCAUGCUAGGUUCAGUGAGCAAUUUCUCCCCAAAAAUAAGCUGGAGAAGGACAGAGGAUGACGCUGAACUUUGACCUCUGGCCUCCACACACAUGCAUGAGUGAGUGCACCCACAUCAACACACACACACACAUGUGAAAAACAAAUCUUUUAAAAUAAUAAUAUGGGUCCCUAAGUACUGGAAUUGAGAACAGUGCCUACAUCCCAACGUUUGUAAGAUGUCAGUGGACUGCAGAAUAAGUGUGGGGAUAGUCCUCAUGGUAAUUAUUUGAAGUUUCUUUCGGGCGGUAGUAAAUGUCAAAUUCUUUCCAUUAA
Long non-coding RNA from Mus musculus (house mouse), 5938 nucleotides. RefSeq annotates it as predicted gene 45609. The transcript is spliced from 4 exons. The record is from RefSeq and is a predicted model, not a curated record. Lineage: Eukaryota; Metazoa; Chordata; Mammalia; Rodentia; Muridae.